Small nuclear RNA from Jaculus jaculus (lesser Egyptian jerboa), 107 nucleotides. The record is from Ensembl. NCBI's taxonomy places the organism in Eukaryota, Metazoa, Chordata, Mammalia, Rodentia, Dipodidae.
GUUCUCACUUUGGCAGCACAUAUACUAAAACUGGAACGAUACAGAGAAGAUUAGCAUGGCCCAUGUGCAAGGAUGACACACAAAACCUUAAAAAAAAACAUAAAUUU